This 429-nucleotide ribosomal RNA is filed under the name Chloroflexota bacterium. Its description in RNAcentral is "Chloroflexi bacterium partial 16S ribosomal RNA". It matches the Rfam family "Bacterial small subunit ribosomal RNA", at positions 355 to 776 of the family's 1533-position model. Lineage: Bacteria; Bacillati; Chloroflexota. The record is from RNAcentral.
UGGGGAAUAUUGCACAAUGGGCGCAAGCCUGAUGCAGCCAUGCCGCGUGUAUGAAGAAGGCCUUCGGGUUGUAAAGUACUUUCAGCGGGGAGGAAGGGAGUAAAGUUAAUACCUUUGCUCAUUGACGUUACCCGCAGAAGAAGCACCGGCUAACUCCGUGCCAGCAGCCGCGGUAAUACGGAGGGUGCAAGCGUUAAUCGGAAUUACUGGGCGUAAAGCGCACGCAGGCGGUUUGUUAAGUCAGAUGUGAAAUCCCCGGGCUCAACCUGGGAACUGCAUCUGAUACUGGCAAGCUUGAGUCUCGUAGAGGGGGGUAGAAUUCCAGGUGUAGCGGUGGAAUGCGUAGAGAUCUGGAGGAAUACCGGUGGCGAAGGCGGCCCCCUGGACGAAGACUGACGCUCAGGUGCGAAAGCGUGGGGAGCAAACAGG